UAAUAUUUAAUUAAUUUUUUUUGUAUAUAGUUAUGCUUUUUCUGCAUUAAUACAUACGGUAUAAUAUUAAAAAGAAAAUUAUAAACGUAAAAAAGUGUAUAUAUUUCUAUCGAAUGUUUUGAAAAUCGAUUUUUUUUAAUUGAAUCAGUCUAAUAACCGGUUCAAUUGUCGGUCUACAUCUACAUCUAGCAAUUGUAUGUGUUGGCUUGCGGGUUGUGUACAUUCCAAAUAACCUUAUUGAUCGACUUAUUGAAUUUUUUUCGGAAAUUGACUUUUUUUAAUGGACGAAGCUUAUCAAAGUUCAAUAAACCGAUUCAAACAAUUUUUUUCAUCAGUUUUUUAUCACAUUGGUUUCAACCCGAUUUUUGAAUAAACCAUCGUCUGGUUCAAUUCAGUUUAAAACUUAGCAUAAAACCGAUCGUUGUUUAACACCCCACCGUUUCAACAUCGGGCGGUUCAAACCAGUUUCUAAAACACUGUUUCCAUCAUCGUCUCUCACUGUCACCGCCACCUGUUUUGCGAAAUAAUCAACCAAUUUUGAUUUGUUAUAAAUCAUCCAAACAAACAAAUAUUUAUAAAAAAAGAAAACUAAUAAAUAUAUCCAACCCAAAAAAAUAUAUUAUAAUCCAAUUUCAAAUUUCAAUUUAAAUCAUCUAAAAGAUAACGUAUAGAAUCCCCAAAAACCCGUUAGGUGGCACCCUACCAGUCUCUCAAGAUUGACGCCUACAAUAAUAAGUGUACUAGUAGCUUCACACAAACGACAGAUUGUAAACAGAGGCCAUGCACACAAAACUAGGCACCAAUUUAGCUUUUCUGUUUUUAUAUUUUAUAAUCCUUCAAUUAUUUUUUUGAGUGGGUACAAUAUUGUACAUAUAUUGUUUUUAAAAUCAUAAUGUAACAUUUUUAUUACAGUCAUGUACGAAAGUCGCCGUGGACUUCGUUUCUCCGGAGAACAUACAAGAGUGCAUCCGACUAACACAGGAGUUCCGUAAGCUGCCCAUUAAUCACAAAGCUAGAGAAGACAAACUAGAGGUAUACAUUAUUAUUAUUUAUGUUAUUUAAGAGUUUUAAUUCUUUUUUAUGUGACAUGAACUGAAGUCGUGAAACUUUGACAAAGUUUUAUUUUUAGUUUAUAGCAUUUUAAAGUAUAUUUGUUUGUGUUGAAGGUAAAGAAAAUGAUCCUGCACGCUAUGCGUCAAGCCAUUGCUGAUUUUGAGGAAUUAACGACUAGCCAGAAGUCGGAAGUCUUAGUAGGGCAAUAAGCCUUUUUAGUAGUAGUGGUAGUAGUAGUAGAACAACUACAGUAAAUGUUCUAACAACAUACAUACUUGGCUUUCUAGACUUUAUGCUUGUGAUUGUGGUGUUAUUGAUAUCUCGAAAUGACUAGAGCUCGAGGUUAGGAAUAGAAACUGUAGUUAAUAGUAAUACAAGUAAAAAUAAAGGGUUGCUUUGGAUGUAUUCAAAAUUAAUCGCUUUGUGUUUUUUCAAAGUAACAUGUUUGUUAUAAGACCAAAGAAAAUGAAAACAACUCUCCAAACUCAAACCGAAUCAAGUAUAGAAAAAACACUCACAUAACUACAAUUUCAUUAUUUUCAACUCCUAACUGUUAAUAAACUCGACUUUCGCUUCUAGCAAGUCAACUUUCACUUUGUGUUGGACCAUUCAAUACUUUAAGAUCUUCAUUUGCUACUUUUUAAUUUUAUAAUAUAAAUAUAAAUAAACAUAUAGUAUUUAUUAUUUAAACGGGUUGGCUAUGAUAUAAAUAAUAACUAAUAUAUUUAAUUACAUGUAUCGAAAAUCUCAACGUAAUUCCUAUUGUAGACUUGGCAAAACAUGACAUGACACGAAAUUAGCAGGUUAGUAUCAGAGACUUCGACACGUUUAUGUAAACGGGUUGACACGACACGACACGGUAAUUAAACGGGUAGGGUUAAGGUCAAGACUUUCGACUCGAAGAUGACUCGAAUAUGACCCGUUUAAUUAUAUGUUAGUAUUUAUUAUAAAUUUCAUAUUUUUAUAAAUAUAUUAUAUGUUAUAGACUUAUAAUGAGCCAAACUCAAGAAUUACAAGUAAUAUUCAAAUUUUCAAAGUUACUUAAUUUUAGUCAUCUUCACCACCUAUCUCUUUGCUCUCCAACUUUAACUUUUUUCAUUUUUCCUUCUUGACUUACUAUAAAUUUUUUCAUUUCAUCUCACAACUCUAGUGUUUCAAUUUUUCAUUUUUGCCUCCACAACUCUACUUUCCAACCUUUAAAAUAUUUCAACCCAACAUGACACAACAUAUUUAUAAGGUUUAAACCUUAACCCGAAACCAACAUGAAACCGACACAAAAAUAAACGGGUUGACAUGACACGAUAAUUAAACAGAUCGGGUUAAGGUCAAGCCCUUUCAACCCGUUUAUUGUCUUGACACGACAUGAAUCCGACACGACACGACACGUUUGCCAGGUCUACUCUAUUGCUUCCAAAUAACAACAAUUUAUUUGAUAAUCUUGUCAAAAAUUCUAAAUACGUGCAAAUAUCAACUCUGGCGUAUGGCUACAACUUUUUGUUAUGAUAUUCAUAAUUUGUUUGAACCCGUUUGUAUUAAGCAUUGAUCAUAAUUUUAGUUAAUUAAAUGAUAAAGUGCAUCAAAUAAAUGGUCCACACAAAAUCAGGUCCACAGCCCAUUACGUGGAAGGUUAAAUAAAAAAGUACUAUCAAUAUUUUUACUACGUCUAAGAGAAAAUACAAAAAUGGUCCAUGUGGUACAGUGUAAUAGGUACAUAAAGUUUGAUUUCGACAAAAUGGACAAAUUCGGUGCUUGUGUUUUUUUGAUAUUUACAUGGAUCGUCCCUAACGCUUUGUUCCCGAGUUCCACUUAAGGAGAGAAAUGAGAGGAUACGGAGGGAAAGUGAGGGGUGUCGAAGGAAAAUCGUGUUCCCGAGUUUCAUUAAUGGAAGGAAAGUGAGGGGAGGGAAAAGAUUUUAGAGUCAUAUUUUCCUUCCAAAUUGAGCGGAUUUGAGAAGAAAGUGAGGGGAAGAAAAAUUUUAAGUUUUAUUUUCUUUUUCCUCCUAACUCGGGACACAAAAACUAAAAAUUUUCCUUUCAUUUCCUUCGAACUCGGAAACAUAGAAUAAUUAAUAUUUUCCUUCACCUCCCUUUCUUUCUGUCAAAAUUUUCCUUCCCUUUCCUUUAAUGAAUUUACAUAAAAACUCGGGAACAAGACGUAAGUCGCUAACCACAGAGCUGGUUAAAUACAGUGAAAUUACAUUUUUACCCUUACUUUUUUAUUUUUCAUAUAUUUGUUUUUUAUUAAAAGAUCUUAUAAUUACAUAAAUGACCCCUCUCGCCCACAUCCACAUCCACCCCACCAUCACCUCCGGCUAACAUAAAAACACAUACACUCUAAAUCCUACUCUUAAACGAUAUCUUUGUCCACUACGAAACUUAAGCCCUAAUCACUCAAAAGAAAUGACACCUUUGUAAACACUUGAUAUCUCUUAGGAUCACAUCAUAUAGUUAUAUCAUCAAAUAAAUUAAAUAUAGUUUAAGAUUUAAUAUUAUUUUUAACUAUUAUUAUAUUUUCAAAAUGUCAAUAAACUUUAAAAGUUUUGUAAACACUUGAUAUCUCUUAGGAUCACGUAAUUUUUUUUUAUGUUCUAUUAUUUUUUUAUGGUUAAUUAAAAACACAAAACUUUUAAAGUUUAUUGACAUUUUGAUUUGUAUUUUAAAUUUAGUAUCAUAUUUAAAUUACAAAUUACGUAUUGUAUUAAUAGUUUCAAAUGGAUAUGGCUGAAGUAUAUUGAUCUCUAUUAUAGAAGAUAUAUAAAUAUUUAAUUGAUGUUCGAAGUUCACGAUCUUUUAUUUUUGUUGAAAAAAUUAACAAAACAAAUAAGUUUACAACUAUUAAACAUAAACGAUAAUCGCUUACUCAUUGGAACCUAAAACCCAAAAUAAAACCCUAAAGAAAAUCAAACAUGUAAAACAAAAAAAAGCUUGGAACAAACGUUUUUAGUUUGAUUUUUGUUUUAAACAAAAAGCAAACCGAUCAAACCUCAUUCAAGCCAUAUCACCUAGGUGGUGUAGCACGAGUACGAUUAAACAUGCCAUAUCACCUAGGUGGUGUGGAAUGAGUUGUGUGAUUUAAAUCAAGUAAACAAGGGUUUGCAAAAUGGCCUAGUAUCCUCAUAGAUUAAUGGCCUAAGAGGUCAUGUGUCGUGAGAAUUUAGGAUGGCAAUCGAUGGAACGAACGACAAGACCACGAAAUGAAAUUGAGAAGAAACUGAAUUUUGAAUUCAUGUUCAUGUUUUUGUCUAGUGAAAAAAAAACAAUGUGAUGUCGUGUUUAAAAUUCAUCACGAAAUUAACACAAUAUAGCAUGUUUUUAUCGUGUUUUUGGUAUUAUGUAUCAUUAAAUAUGAAUUAUAUAAAAUAAUGGUUAUUUUGUUGCGUUUUUCGUGUUUUAAUUGAUGCGUUUUCAUGUUACUGAAAAAAUUUGUCGUGUUCGUGAUACAUAAAACUUUGUCAUGUAAUACCGUAUCAGACAAAAACAAGUCACGAUUACCGACAAAAACAAAUCACGAUUACCUGAUUCGAGAGACCACAUGUUGAUGUAAAUCAAGGUAUAAUCCAUCUUGAGAGAAUGCUCAAAAAGCUUAACAAACUAAAAAGAUAAAUCAUACCUAUUAUGACAACUUACAUCACACCCAGACCAAAGAUUGUUCAAAUAUAGGUAAAUUCCGAAACACUAACAAUUUAGUGAUUAUGCCAAAGUACAUCUUUUUACACCAUUUCUAACAUGUAACAUCAUUUUUUGCACAAUGAUGGAGCACUACUUUUUGCAAACUUAAAUUAUCUCCUACCUAUUAUAUCAAAAUAAUAUUUCAAAUAUAUANNNNNNNNNNNNNNNNNNNNNNNNNNNNNNNNNNNNNNNNNNNNNNNNNNNNNNNNNNNNNNNNNNNNNNNNNNAACUUGUGUUUUGUCUUUUUAUUACUAUAAUUCAUAAAUCAUAUCAUAAGUUUGAAAUAUGUAAACACAAUAUCAAAAUACAAAUAAUACAAAUUAAAACAUUAAAUAUGUAAAUGAAUUAUACUAUAAAUAUGUAUCAUGACAAAUAGUGUUAGGGUUCAUUUUGAGUGAUUAAGAUGUAAAAUUUUAUAAUGUAAAAUUAUACAAUGAAUUCAAUAAUAUUAGAGUUAGUUUUAAGUGGUUGAGAUGUGAAAUAUCAUUCGAUUUAACUUAAUUUUUUAGAGUUAUUUAUAUUUCUAUAAUGAAUUCAAUAGUGUUAAGGUUAGUUUUAAGGGGUUGAAAUAUAAAAUUUCAUUGCUGCUUAACUUGACAUUUUUAGGGUUAUUUAUAAUUUUAUAAUGAAUUCAAUAAUGUUAGGGUUAGUUUUUAAAUGGUUGAUAUUAGGAAUUUCAUAGUCAUUUAACUUGACUUUUUUAGGGUUAUUUAUUAUGAAGAAUAUAACAAAUAACCCAAAAUAAGAUAGAAUGAAUAUUAUUCAUGAUCUAACUUACAACAAAUUAAAUCUAUUAGAUCCAACUAUUUCAUAGAUCUAGUUUUCAAAACCAAUACUAAUCCAAUAACUUUCAAUAUUAAUCUUAUAAAUCAAUAUUAUCAAAAAGAUAAUAACUAAACCUCAAUAGAAAUCAAAUUGAUCAUCAAAAAUAUAAUAACUAACCUUUUUACAAACCCCAAAAUAAGAAUAUUUGGUACUAAUUCUUCCUCCUUUGUUUCAAACGUCAAUCCUCAAAAAUUCUUGAUGACAAACUUCUAGAUCUCACGCAGCUCUUCUUUUUCUUCGUUUCCUCUCUCAUCUUAUUGCUAUUUUCAAACGUCGAUGGUGGUGGGAUUGGGAUUAUUUAUAAAGGGAAUAGGGGAUGAAUUUAGGGCUUCC
RNAcentral lists this long non-coding RNA (5879 nucleotides) under Lactuca sativa (garden lettuce). RNAcentral describes it as "long non-coding RNA (LSAT_LNC000973)". The record is from RNAcentral. Lineage: Eukaryota; Viridiplantae; Streptophyta; Magnoliopsida; Asterales; Asteraceae.